GAGACAGGUAGAGACAAGCAGAGAUAGGUAGACACAAGCAGAGACAGGUAGAGACAGGUAGAGACAAGCAGAAACAGGUAGAGACAGGUAGAGACAAGCAGAAACAGGCAGAGACAGGUAGAGACAGGUAGAGACAGGUAGAGACAGGCAGAGACAGGUAGAGACAAGCAGAGACAAGCAGAGACAGGUAGAGACAGGCAGAGACAGGCAGAGACAAGCAGAGACAGGCAGAGACAGGUAGAGACAGGCAGAGACAAGCAGAGACAGGCAGAGACAGGCAGAGACAAGCAGAGACAAGCAGAAACAGGCAGAGACAGGUAGAGACAAGCAGAGACAAGCAGAGACAGGUAGAGACAGGCAGAGACAGGCAGAGACAGGCAGAGACAAGCAGAAACAGGCAGAGACAGGCAGAG
Molecule: long non-coding RNA, 413 nt
Organism: Epinephelus fuscoguttatus (brown-marbled grouper)
Lineage: Eukaryota; Metazoa; Chordata; Actinopteri; Perciformes; Serranidae
Exons: 5
Source: RefSeq, a predicted model, not a curated record